RNAcentral lists this long non-coding RNA (423 nucleotides) under Anser brachyrhynchus (Pink-footed goose). RNAcentral's name for it is "lncRNA (ENSABRG00000004746.1)". Lineage: Eukaryota; Metazoa; Chordata; Aves; Anseriformes; Anatidae. The record is from RNAcentral.
CUCUGAUUGACCUAUUAGAGAGAGAUUGCAAUGGAGGAGAUUGCAAUGGAGAUGACUGCACUUCCUUACCAGUAUGCCUAUGGAACCACACGACAGUGGACAUUUGAAUCUGCAGCACCGGUUCAUUGAUCAAAAGGCACAGCUGUUUUGCUCCUGGGUGUUAACUCCACCUCUGGCAUUCUCUACUCCUCUCCUAUGCUAAUGCUGAGUUGCUGUUCAUUGAUAGAAGGCACUGGUGUUGACAGAUUUUGGAGGCUUUGAUGGAUGCACAUCUUUUAUCAUGCUCUCUGAUAGAAAAAUGAAGAAAGAAAAGAGAAAGCAAACCAAAACAAUGAUUUGACCACUUUCUAACAGAAAAACUCUGAAAGACAGGUAAUAGUUUCCAUCUGUCAAAAUUUAGAAAACAUUAAAAAUAAAGAAGAA